RNAcentral lists this transfer RNA (29 nucleotides) under Riccardia multifida. RNAcentral's name for it is "partial transfer RNA-Leu". Lineage: Eukaryota; Viridiplantae; Streptophyta; Jungermanniopsida; Metzgeriales; Aneuraceae. The record is from RNAcentral. RNAcentral also lists the same sequence under 1 other name.
AAAAUUCGUUGGCUUCAUAGACCGUGAGG